This 442-nucleotide ribosomal RNA is filed under the name uncultured bacterium. Its description in RNAcentral is "partial 16S ribosomal RNA". It matches the Rfam family "Bacterial small subunit ribosomal RNA", at positions 338 to 795 of the family's 1533-position model. The record is from RNAcentral.
CCUACGGGAGGCAGCAGUGGGGAAUAUUGGGCAAUGGGCGCAAGCCUGACCCAGCAACGCCGCGUGAAGGAAGAAGGCUUUCGGGUUGUAAACUUCUUUUAAUGGGGAAGAGCAGAAGACGGUACCCCUUGAAUAAGCCACGGCUAACUACGUGCCAGCAGCCGCGGUAAUACGUAGGUGGCAAGCGUUGUCCGGAUUUACUGGGUGUAAAGGGCGUGCAGCCGGAGGGACAAGUCAGAUGUGAAAUCCACGGGCUCAACCCGUGAACUGCAUUUGAAACUGUUUCCCUUGAGUGUCGGAGAGGUAAUCGGAAUGCCUUGUGUAGCGGUGAAAUGCGUAGAUAUAAGGAAGAACACCAGUGGCGAAGGCGGAAUACUGGACGAUAACUGACGGUGAGGCGCGAAAGCGUGGGGAGCGAACAGGAUUAGAUACCCGGGUAGUC